CCUACGGGGGGCUGCAGUGGGGAAUAUUGGACAAUGGGGGGAACCCUGAUCCAGCCAUGCCGCGUGUGUGAAGAAGGCCCUCGGGUUGUAAAGCACUUUCAGUGAGGAAGAACGCCUGGUGGUUAAUACCCAUCAGGAAAGACAUCACUCACAGAAGAAGCACCGGCUAACUCCGUGCCAGCAGCCGCGGUAAUACGGAGGGUGCGAGCGUUAAUCGGAAUUACUGGGCGUAAAGCGCGCGUAGGUGGCUUGAUAAGCCGGUUGUGAAAGCCCCGGGCUCAACCUGGGAACGGCAUCCGGAACUGUCAAGCUAGAGUGCAGGAGAGGAAGGUAGAAUUCCCGGUGUAGCGGUGAAAUGCGUGGAGAUCGGGAGGAAUACCAGUGGCGAAGGCGGCCUUCUGGACUGACACUGACACUGAGGUGCGAAAGCGUGGGUAGCAAACAGGAUUAGAUACCCUUGUAGUC
RNAcentral lists this ribosomal RNA (465 nucleotides) under Vreelandella stevensii. RNAcentral's name for it is "partial 16S ribosomal RNA". It matches the Rfam family "Bacterial small subunit ribosomal RNA", at positions 338 to 795 of the family's 1533-position model. Lineage: Bacteria; Pseudomonadati; Pseudomonadota; Gammaproteobacteria; Oceanospirillales; Halomonadaceae. The record is from RNAcentral.